UGGGGAAUAUUGCACAAUGGGCGCAAGCCUGAUGCGGCCAUGCCGCGUGUGUGAAGAAGGCCUUCGGGUUGUAAAGCACUUUCAGCGGGGAGGAAGGCGUUAAGGUUAAUAACCUUGGCGAUUGACGUUACCCGCAGAAGAAGCACCGGCUAACUCCGUGCCAGCAGCCGCGGUAAUACGUAGGGUGCAAGCGUUAAUCGGAAUUACUGGGCGUAAAGCGCACGCAGGCGGUCUGUCAAGUCGGAUGUGAAAUCCCCGGGCUCAACCUGGGAACUGCAUUCGUAACUGGCAGGCUAGAGUCUUGUAGAGGGGAGUAGAAUUCCAGGUGUAGCGGUGAAAUGCGUAGAGAUCUGGGGGAAUACCGGUGGCGAAGGCGGCCCCCUGGACAAAGACUGACGCUCAGGUGCGAAAGCGUGGGGAGCAAACAGG
This 429-nucleotide ribosomal RNA is filed under the name Chloroflexota bacterium. Its description in RNAcentral is "Chloroflexi bacterium partial 16S ribosomal RNA". It matches the Rfam family "Bacterial small subunit ribosomal RNA", at positions 355 to 776 of the family's 1533-position model. The record is from RNAcentral. Lineage: Bacteria; Bacillati; Chloroflexota.